GGGUAUUGGUGCAUAAGUUUCCGCUGCGCACAACAAGUGGUAUCAAGAGCCGAAGGUUGUUCCUUUGGGUUGUAGAAGAGAUUGCAGAACAUUGUUUGUAGGGGUUUUGUUCGGUUUUAGGAAUCAGUCCAGAUUCGACACCCUGUGGUAAAACGGCCAUAACUUUGUACUCGGAUAUCGAAACUUCGAUCCGUUUUUUGGGUUGGAAAGUAGACUCUUCAGGCUUUCCAACAGUGUAUGGUACGUUUUCUGUUUCAAAGUAUUCUGUUCCCAGUAAUUCUUU
Molecule: long non-coding RNA, 283 nt
Filed under: Aquilegia coerulea
Lineage: Eukaryota; Viridiplantae; Streptophyta; Magnoliopsida; Ranunculales; Ranunculaceae
Description: long non-coding RNA (ACOE_LNC000728)
Source: RNAcentral